NUCCUUUGGGUUGCGAUCAACCCCCCGGCUGGCAAUAAUCAAAUCGGAGGAUCCUUCCAGUUUCCAUGACACGGCUCAACUGGUAAAUACCCUUUCUUGUUUAACUGGCUGCCCUGUAUUGGUUUGUUAUCUUGCAACUUGAGCAGAGACUUGGUUUUCCAUUUUUUUUCUUUUCUGUUUAUCUCCCUUAAAUCUUCAGUGAAAGAUACAUUCAUUGUAAUUCAGAAACUUGGGGAGUUGAAAUAGUUACUAUUCUUUCUUUCUUUUCAGUAUAUGCUAAGAGCUUUGAGAAAAUU
RNAcentral lists this long non-coding RNA (296 nucleotides) under Olea europaea subsp. europaea. The record is from RNAcentral. Lineage: Eukaryota; Viridiplantae; Streptophyta; Magnoliopsida; Lamiales; Oleaceae.